UCUCUCCCCGGAGCGCAGCCGGGAGACCCUCGGAGCGGAACCCCGGAGGCUUCCCCCUCCCCAGCGGCGGCGCCGCGUCCUGAUGGGCGGCCGGGCGCAUCUCUGCCCGCGCUGCCUUGGAGGCGGGGACGGCGCGGGUUUGCGCCCAGGCGGAGGAGCGGGCGGCGGCGGCGGCGGUGGAGUCUCAGCCUGCCGUUGACUGCGGGCGCUGCAGCCGGACGGGAGAGCCGCCUUCGCGGGGGGACGAGAGGCCGGAGCCAGAAGUACAGAGACUGACGCUGAAGCUCAAAUACUUUGGCCACCUAAUGAGGUGGCGAAGAGAGCCAAUGGCCUCCUAAUAAACAGAAGACCCCUUUGAAGCUGUAGUCUUGCAGUCACAACAAAAAAGUUUUGAAAAAAAUAUACAGUAUUGCAGCUAAUUUAUUCCACUGAAACAAUUUUGGAAUGCCUGACCACUGACAGUCAAAUAUAAUCAUCAUAAUAAUAAAAAAGAUCAGAUUCUCAAAUCCUUUGAAGGAGGAAUACAAAGGAUGCCAUCCAUCACAAGAAAUUCAGGUAAUAUAAGGAAAAAAUACUAUUAAAAAAAACCCUUUAUCACUUCAGCUGCCUUUGAUUGACAAGUUUAAGUGAUUGAAGACGGCACCCUAUGCAUGUUAGUGAGCAAGCUGUGUUAAAAGCAGUGGGAUUUAAGUCUGAAUAGGCUUUUGUAGGAUUAGCCUCAAAGCAAAUCCUUUUAAAUAAAUAUGCUGUUGCUAAAACUAAAAUAUUUUCUAUUACAUUUGCAAUUCCUAUCAUUACGCUGGUGAAACACACCUCUUGUAUCUUUAGAAGUCUUCCCUGAGGAGGAAUAUUUAAUCAGGGUCUUAAAAUCAUAGAGUAUGUAAGGGAUCUUGGGUAUCUUUCUUGCCCAGUAGAGGAGUCCUCAUACCAUCUUGAACAAAUGAUGGUUUAGUCUUUUUUUUGAAAACUUCCAGUGAUGGUGUAUCCAUAACUUCAGGAGGUAGGCUGUUUCACAAGUUAAUUGUUCUCACGUUCAGAAAAUUCCUCCUCAGGUUUGGCUCUUUCACUCCGAAUAACUCAUGGGAUGAUUGGAUUUUUGCAGUUGAGAACUCUUACUUUAAAGAGCCCAAUGGUUCUUGUCCUACCUUCAUGUUCUCUGGAGAAUAAAUCCACAACCUCUUUCCGUAUAUAGAAGAACAGCUACUGUAUCUCCCUUUAGCUUUCUCCUCUUUAGGC
This is a non-coding RNA of Thamnophis sirtalis, 1236 nucleotides long. NCBI's taxonomy places the organism in Eukaryota, Metazoa, Chordata, Lepidosauria, Squamata, Natricidae. The record is from RefSeq and is a predicted model, not a curated record.